This 497-nucleotide ribosomal RNA is filed under the name uncultured bacterium. RNAcentral's name for it is "partial 16S ribosomal RNA". It matches the Rfam family "Bacterial small subunit ribosomal RNA", at positions 28 to 507 of the family's 1533-position model. The record is from RNAcentral.
GAUGAACGCUGGCGGCGUGCCUAAUACAUGCAAGUCGAGCGAACAGAUGAGGAGCUUGCUCCUCUGACGUUAGCGGCGGACGGGUGAGUAACACGUGGAUAACCUACCUAUAAGACUGGGAUAACUUCGGGAAACCGGAGCUAAUACCGGAUAAUAUUUUGAACCGCAUGGUUCAAUAGUAAAAGACGGUUUUGCUGUCACUUAUAGAUGGAUCCGCGCUGCAUUAGCUAGUUGGUAAGGUAACGGCUUACCAAGGCAACGAUGCAUAGCCGACCUGAGAGGGUGAUCGGCCACACUGGAACUGAGACACGGUCCAGACUCCUACGGGAGGCAGCAGUAGGGAAUCUUCCGCAAUGGGCGAAAGCCUGACGGAGCAACGCCGCGUGAGUGAUGAAGGUCUUCGGAUCGUAAAACUCUGUUAUUAGGGAAGAACAAAUGUGUAAGUAACUAUGCACGUCUUGACGGUACCUAAUCAGAAAGCCACGGCUAACUACGUG